CGGACGGGUGAGUAACGCGUGGGUAACCUGCCUUAUACAGGGGAUAACAGUUAGAGAUGACUGCUAAUACCGCAUAAGCGCACAGGAUUGCAUGAUCUGGUGUGAAAAACUACCGGUGGUAUAAGAUGGACCCGCGUCUGAUUAGCUUGUUGGUGAGGUAACGGCCCACCAAGGCGACGAUCAGUAGCCGACCUGAGAGGGUGACCGGCCACAUUGGGACUGAGACACGGCCCAAACUCCUACCGGGAGGCAGCAUG
This 257-nucleotide ribosomal RNA is filed under the name uncultured bacterium. RNAcentral describes it as "partial 16S ribosomal RNA". It matches the Rfam family "Bacterial small subunit ribosomal RNA", at positions 99 to 353 of the family's 1533-position model. The record is from RNAcentral.